GUCCUGAUAUGUGUGUAAGGAAUGCAUUGUGUGAAUCUGUGUUUGUAUGUGUAAGGGCUGCAAGGUGUGUUUCUGUGUAUGUACAGGAUGCAGUGUGUGCGUGUGUAAGGGGUGCAUUGAGUGUGUGUAAGGAAUGCAUUGUGUGUUUCUGUGUAUGUAAGGAAUGCAUUGUGUGUAAGGGUUGCAUUGUUUGUGUGUGUGUGUGUGUAUGUGUGUGUGUCUGUGUGUGUAAUGCAUUGUGUGUUUUUCUGUGUGCAAGGGGUGCAUUGCAUGUGUGUGUGAUGGAUGUCACUCUCUCCCCC
Pelobates cultripes (western spadefoot toad) is the source of this 302-nucleotide non-coding RNA. The record is from the annotation of a GenBank genome assembly. Lineage: Eukaryota; Metazoa; Chordata; Amphibia; Anura; Pelobatidae.